RNAcentral lists this ribosomal RNA (484 nucleotides) under uncultured bacterium. Its description in RNAcentral is "partial 16S ribosomal RNA". It matches the Rfam family "Bacterial small subunit ribosomal RNA", at positions 30 to 507 of the family's 1533-position model. The record is from RNAcentral.
AUUGAACGCUGGCGGCAGGCCUAACACAUGCAAGUCGAGCGGAUGAAGGGAGCUUGCUCCUGGAUUCAGCGGCGGACGGGUGAGUAAUGCCUAGGAAUCUGCCUGGUAGUGGGGGAUAACGUCCGGAAACGGGCGCUAAUACCGCAUACGUCCUGAGGGAGAAAGUGGGGGAUCUUCGGACCUCACGCUAUCAGAUGAGCCUAGGUCGGAUUAGCUAGUUGGUGGGGUAAAGGCCUACCAAGGCGACGAUCCGUAACUGGUCUGAGAGGAUGAUCAGUCACACUGGAACUGAGACACGGUCCAGACUCCUACGGGAGGCAGCAGCGGGGAAUAUUGGACAAUGGGCGAAAGCCUGAUCCAGCCAUGCCGCGUGUGUGAAGAAGGUCUUCGGAUUGUAAAGCACCUUAAGUUGGGAGGAAGGGCAGUAAGUUAAUACCUUGCUGUUUUGACGUUACCAACAGAAUAAGCACCGGCUAACUUCGUG